UACGUAGGGUGCAAGCGUUGUCCGGAAUUAUUGGGCGUAAAGAGCUCGUAGGCGGUCUGUCGCGUCUGCUGUGAAAACUCAGGGCUUAACCCUGAGCUUGCAGUGGGUACGGGCAGACUAGAGUGCGGUAGGGGAGACUGGAAUUCCUGGUGUAGCGGUGAAAUGCGCAGAUAUCAGGAGGAACACCGGUGGCGAAGGCGGGUCUCUGGGCAGUAACUGACGCUGAGGAGCGAAAGCGUGGGGAGCGAACAGG
RNAcentral lists this ribosomal RNA (253 nucleotides) under uncultured bacterium. RNAcentral describes it as "partial 16S ribosomal RNA". It matches the Rfam family "Bacterial small subunit ribosomal RNA", at positions 524 to 776 of the family's 1533-position model. The record is from RNAcentral.